RNAcentral lists this small nucleolar RNA (109 nucleotides) under Sphenodon punctatus (tuatara). The record is from RNAcentral. Lineage: Eukaryota; Metazoa; Chordata; Lepidosauria; Sphenodontia; Sphenodontidae.
CACCCAUGAUGACUCCGCCAUGCUAAUACCGAGGCACCGAGCAGGGCCACUGGUCCUACUCCGGGUGUCAGUGAGUUCAACUCGCUUCUCACAAGGAGACCUGAGGUGC